Molecule: ribosomal RNA, 1017 nt
Filed under: uncultured bacterium
Lineage: Bacteria
Description: bacterial SSU rRNA
Rfam family: Bacterial small subunit ribosomal RNA
Source: RNAcentral
GAGGAAUACUGGUCAAUGGGCGCAGGCCUGAACCAGCCAAGUAGCGUGAAGGAUGACUGCCCUAUGGGUUGUAAACUUCUUUUAUAAAGGAAUAAAGUCGGGUAUGUAUACCCGUUUGCAUGUACUUUAUGAAUAAGGAUCGGCUAACUCCGUGCCAGCAGCCGCGGUAAUACGGAGGAUCCGAGCGUUAUCCGGAUUUAUUGGGUUUAAAGGAAGCGUAGAUGGAUGUUUAAGUCAGUUGUGAAAGUUUGCGGCUCAACCGUAAAAUUGCAGUUGAUACUGGAUAUCUUGAGUGCAGUUGAGGCAGGCGGAAUUCGUGGUGUAGCGGUGAAAUGCUUAGAUAUCACGAAGAACUCCGAUUGCGAAGGCAGCCUGCUAAACCGCCACUGACGUUGAGGCUCGAAAGUGUGGGUAUCAAACAGGAUUAGAUACCCUGGUAGUCCACACGGUAAACGAUGGAUACUCGCUGUUGGCGAUAGACUGUCAGCGGCUUAGCGAAAGCGUUAAGUAUCCCACCUGGGGAGUACGCCGGCAACGGUGAAACUCAAAGGAAUUGACGGGGGCCCGCACAAGCGGAGGAACAUGUGGUUUAAUUCGAUGAUACGCGAGGAACCUUACCCGGGCUUGAAUUGCAGACGAAUUGCUUGGAAACAGGCAAGCCGCAAGGCGUCUGUGAAGGUGCUGCAUGGUUGUCGUCAGCUCGUGCCGUGAGGUGUCGGCUUAAGUGCCAUAACGAGCGCAACCCUCGUGUCCAGUUACUAGCAGGUUAUGCUGAGGACUCUGGACAGACUGCCAUCGUAAGAUGUGAGGAAGGUGGGGAUGACGUCAAAUCAGCACGGCCCUUACGUCCGGGGCUACACACGUGUUACAAUGGGGGGUACAGCAGGCAGCUACCGGGCGACCGGAUGCCAAUCCCGAAAGCCUCUCUCAGUUCGGACUGGAGUCUGCAACCCGACUCCACGAAGCUGGAUUCGCUAGUAAUCGCGCAUCAGCCAUGGCGCGGUGAAUACGUUCCCG